CUGGCGGCGUGCCUAACACAUGCAAGUCGAGCGAGGAGAUCCUCGGGAUGAUCCUAGCGGCGGACGGGUGAGUAACACGUGGGCAACCUGCCUCAUAGAGAGGAAUAGCCUUCCGAAAGGGAGAUUAAUACCUCAUAACAUUGCAGUUUCGCAUGGAACAGCAAUUAAAGGAGUAAUCCGCUAUGAGAUGGGCCCGCGGCGCAUUAGCUAGUUGGUGAGGUAAUGGCUCACCAAGGCGACGAUGCGUAGCCGACCUGAGAGGGUGAUCGGCCACAUUGGGACUGAGACACGGCCCAGACUCCUACGGGAGGCAGCAGUGGGGAAUAUUGCACAAUGGGGGAAACCCUGAUGCAAGCAACGCCGCGUGAGUGAUGACGGCCUUCGGGUUGUAAAGCUCUGUCUUCAGGGACGAUAAUGACGGUACCUGAGGAGGAAGCCACGGCUAACUACGUGCCAGCAGCCGC
Molecule: ribosomal RNA, 464 nt
Filed under: uncultured bacterium
Lineage: Bacteria
Description: bacterial SSU rRNA
Rfam family: Bacterial small subunit ribosomal RNA
Source: RNAcentral